AUGAACGCUGGCGGCGUGCCUAAUACAUGCAAGUCGAGCGAACGGACGAGAAGCUUGCUUCUCUGAUGUUAGCGGCGGACGGGUGAGUAACACGUGGAUAACCUACCUAUAAGACUGGGAUAACUUCGGGAAACCGGAGCUAAUACCGGAUAAUAUUUUGAACCGCAUGGUUCAAAAGUGAAAGACGGUCUUGCUGUCACUUAUAGAUGGAUCCGCGCUGCAUUAGCUAGUUGGUAAGGUAACGGCUUACCAAGGCAACGAUGCAUAGCCGACCUGAGAGGUUGAUCGGCCACACUGGAACUGAGACACGGUCCAGACUCCUACGGGAGGCAGCAGUAGGGAAUCUUCCGCAAUGGGCGAAAGCCUGACGGAGCAACGCCGCGUGAGUGAUGAAGGUCUUCGGAUCGUAAAACUCUGUUAUUAGGGAAGAACAUAUGUGUAAGUAACUGUGCACAUCUUGACGGUACCUAAUCAGAAAGCCACGGCUAACUACGUG
RNAcentral lists this ribosomal RNA (496 nucleotides) under uncultured bacterium. Its description in RNAcentral is "partial 16S ribosomal RNA". It matches the Rfam family "Bacterial small subunit ribosomal RNA", at positions 29 to 507 of the family's 1533-position model. The record is from RNAcentral.